RNAcentral lists this long non-coding RNA (213 nucleotides) under Elaeis guineensis (African oil palm). Its description in RNAcentral is "long non-coding RNA (EGUI_LNC041997)". Lineage: Eukaryota; Viridiplantae; Streptophyta; Magnoliopsida; Arecales; Arecaceae. The record is from RNAcentral.
GGGGCAUAGUUGUUGCUUAGCACAAAAAUCUGGGUAAUAUAGAUUUUAUCCAUGUUGAUAAGCAAAUUAUUUUUGAUUUGGUUUCCCUGCCUAAUGUAGAACCCUGGGUGUUGGGUGUGUUAUAUGUAAGUACUUCUACAAUUCGUCAUCGGGAUGCCUGGGCUCAAAUGCAAGUUGUUCAAGCUAUUGGCCUUGAUAUGGUACUAAUAGGUG